UACGUAGGGUGCAAGCGUUAAUCGGAAUUACUGGGCGUAAAGCGUGCGCAGGCGGUUCGGAAAGAAAGGUGUGAAAUCCCCGGGCUUAACCUGGGAACGGCACUUUUAACUACCGGGCUAGAGUGUGUCAGAGGGAGGUGGAAUUCCGCGUGUAGCAGUGAAAUGCGUAGAGAUGCGGAGGAACACCGAUGGCGAAGGCAGCCUCCUGGGACAACACUGACGCUCAUGCACGAAAGCGUGGGGAGCAAACAGG
RNAcentral lists this ribosomal RNA (253 nucleotides) under uncultured bacterium. RNAcentral's name for it is "partial 16S ribosomal RNA". It matches the Rfam family "Bacterial small subunit ribosomal RNA", at positions 524 to 776 of the family's 1533-position model. The record is from RNAcentral.